GGAUGUGAGGGCAAUCUGGCUACAACAUCUGUCACCCCAGUGAUCAUCUGGGGUUGAUUCAUCUGAUCUGGCUGGCUAGGUGGAUAUCUCCUUUCUCCCUCCCUGCUCCAUGUGUGUUCUUCUGAAGCUGCAUGUUUGGUUGAAAAGGACAACCAUCCCUGCUAGAGGAGGACAGUUCUUCAUUCAAGGGUAUACCUCCCCUACUAGAACCUCCAAAUAAGCUCUCAAAGAAACAAGGAACAAUAUUCCCUAUAAUUCCAGGACUUUACUCUCUUCCU
This is an unclassified non-coding RNA of Carlito syrichta (Philippine tarsier), 278 nucleotides long. Its record names the gene 7SK. It matches the Rfam family "7SK RNA". Rfam says of the family: 7SK was discovered as an abundant small nuclear RNA in the mid-70s but a possible function has only recently been suggested. The record is from Ensembl. Lineage: Eukaryota; Metazoa; Chordata; Mammalia; Primates; Tarsiidae.